Molecule: transfer RNA, 73 nt
Filed under: Nilaparvata lugens yeast-like symbiont
Lineage: Eukaryota; Fungi; Ascomycota
Description: tRNA-Phe (GAA) (tRNA-Phe-GAA-2-1)
Rfam family: tRNA
About the family: Transfer RNA (tRNA) molecules are approximately 80 nucleotides in length. Their secondary structure includes four short double-helical elements and three loops (D, anti-codon, and T loops).
Source: RNAcentral
GCGGCCAUAGAUUAGCUGGGAGAUCGUCAGACUGAAGAUCUGAAGGUCGUGUGUUCGAGUCGCACUGGCCGCA